AUUUUUUUUUUUCUUCCACAUAUAAGUGAUAUCAUAUGAUAUUUGUCUUUGGCUUACUUUAUUUAGUCUGAUUAUCUUGAAUUAGAAAGUUGGACUAACAUAUGCACACUACAACAUAUAAAAUAGAUAAGCAACAAGGGAACUUACUCAAUAUUUUGUAAUAACUUACAAGGGAAAAAAUCUGAAAAGGAAUACACACACAUACAUAUAUAUAACUAAAUCACUGCUAUGCAUAUCUGAAACUAACACAAUAUUGUAAAUCAACUAUACUUCAAUUCAAAAAAUAUUAAAUUCACCAGAGGAAAAAGAAAGAAAGAAACAGGUUUUCUGCUCAGCAAACAUUACCCUAUGGGUUGCUUACAAGUAGGGUUCCUUACAACCAGGGCUAGCUUUCUCCAGUUUUAUUGACUUCAAACCCAAAUUAUGCUGACUCUUAAAAGACAUUCAGAACACAAAUGUGAGACUUUACAAAAGGCCUAAAACACGGAAAGGCUAUGGAGCAGAUUCUCUUUAAACUCAAGUUGCAUGAGGUAGAGGAAAAUUUUCCGCAAAUUUAGCCCAUGGGUUUCUGUUUUACUGGGGGAGAAAGGGCCAUCUGUGUUACCCUAAGCCGAGGAAUCAUUUUAAUUAGAUGUUUUUGCACUUGCUUUAGAUGCGUGGAGAGGUUUGGAAGCUCUAGGAGAAGAAAGGUGUUGGGAACAAAUAAUUGCCUGCACCUUCUCUCCUGCCCAGAGGAAAGAGCCAGGAAAUAGGAAGAUUUCCAAGCCAAAGUCUGCAACUCAUCCAUGGGGCCACAGGAUGAUGCACAUCGCUGACUGGACUCAGGGCCCCUGGAGUCUCCCAUGGCCCACAAAUGCCUUGAACUGAACAUACUGCAGGGAUGCUGACAUCUAUAAACUUAUGAGUCUGAUGCGGUCUCCACUGCUAACUAACCUCUUGAAGCCUUCUUUUGCUCUUUGUGUUUUUUAUUGGAAAGUGGGCAAAAUGAUAGUGUCUACCUGUCUUAGUCCUAGUCCAUUCAGGCUGCUCUAACAGAAUAUCACAAACAGUAAGGUGGCUUUUAAAUGAGACAUUUAUUUCUCAUAACUCUGGAGGCUGGAAGUCCAAAACUGGGGGAUCCAGUAUGGUUGGAUGAGGGCCCUCUUCUGGGUUGUAGAUACCUCAGUAUACACUUAUGAGGGUAGAAAGGGACAGCAGAAGUGAUUUAUCAGGAGGCUUCUUACAUAAGGCACUAAUACCAUUCAUGAGGGCUGCACCCUCAUGACGUAAGCACCUCUCCGAGGCUUCAGCUCCUGACCAUCACCUUGCGAGUAGGUUCAGUCACUCAGUCAUGUCCAACUCUCUGUGGCUUCGUGGAUUGUAGACUGCCAGCCUCCUCUGUCCAUGGAAUUUUCUAGUCAAGAGUACUGGAGUGGGUUAACACGCCUUCUCCAGGGAUUCUUCCCGACCCAGGGAUUGAACUCGUGUCUCUUUCAUCUCCUGCGCUGGCAAGUGGAUUCUUUAUCACUGGGGGCUAAGAUUUCCACAUAUGAACUUUGAGGGGACACAAGCAUUCAGGUCGUAGUACUACCUCAAAGACUGCUUUAGGUUUUCCAUGAGGAAAUUAUAAAGCAUUUCAAUGCAUGUUUGGUUUAUGCCAAAACUCAAACUAAAUGGUGACUGUCUGUGACUUGCCAUUUUUGUGCCCAUUUUCUCAUUUGGAAAACAGGAUAAACAAUAAAUAACCCUUAUACUCUACUUCA
RNAcentral lists this long non-coding RNA (1742 nucleotides) under Bos mutus (wild yak). RNAcentral describes it as "lncRNA (ENSBMUG00000010048.1)". The record is from RNAcentral. Lineage: Eukaryota; Metazoa; Chordata; Mammalia; Artiodactyla; Bovidae.